GAUGAACGCUAGCGGGAGGCUUAAUACAUGCAAGUCGAGGGGUAACAGGAGAGCUUGCUCUUGCUGACGACCGGCGCACGGGUGAGUAACGCGUACAUAACCUACCUUCAAGAGGGGGAUAGCCCUGGGAAACUGGGAGUAAACCGCCAUGUGAUUAUUAAUUUAUAGGAAUAAAUAAUUAAAACUGAGGUGCUUGAAGAUGGAUGUGCGUUAGAUUAGCUAGUUGGUACGGUAACGGCGUACCAAGGCUACGAUCUAUAGGGGGCGUGAGAGCGUGAUCCCCCACACGGGUACUGAGACACGGACCCGACUCCUACGGGAGGCAGCAGUAAGGAAUAUUGGACAAUGGGCGCAAGCCUGAUCCAGCCAUCCCGCGUGCAGGAUGACGGCCCUAUGGGUUGUAAACUGCUUUUAGAUAGGAAGAAACCCCCUCUCGUGAGAGGGGCUGACGGUACUAUCAGAAUAAGCACCGGCUAACUCCG
Molecule: ribosomal RNA, 482 nt
Filed under: uncultured Saprospiraceae bacterium
Lineage: Bacteria; Pseudomonadati; Bacteroidota; Saprospiria; Saprospirales; Saprospiraceae
Description: bacterial SSU rRNA
Rfam family: Bacterial small subunit ribosomal RNA
Source: RNAcentral